GGGCUGGUGGUACAAUUGAUUAUGUCUGACUAUGACCCAGAAGAUUCUAAGUUCGACUCCUGGCUGGCUCA
Molecule: transfer RNA, 71 nt
Filed under: Otolemur garnettii (small-eared galago)
Lineage: Eukaryota; Metazoa; Chordata; Mammalia; Primates; Galagidae
Rfam family: tRNA
About the family: Transfer RNA (tRNA) molecules are approximately 80 nucleotides in length.
Source: Rfam by way of RNAcentral